Molecule: ribosomal RNA, 313 nt
Filed under: Salmonella enterica
Lineage: Bacteria; Pseudomonadati; Pseudomonadota; Gammaproteobacteria; Enterobacterales; Enterobacteriaceae
Also listed under: 1 other name
Description: partial 23S ribosomal RNA
Rfam family: Bacterial large subunit ribosomal RNA
Source: RNAcentral
UGUUUCGGCUAGGGGGCCAUCCCGGCUUACCAACCCGAUGCAAACUGCGAAUACCGGAGAAUGUUAUCACGGGAGACACACGGCGGGUGCUAACGUCCGUCGUGAAGAGGGAAACAACCCAGACCGCCAGCUAAGGUCCCAAAGUCAUGGUUAAGUGGGAAACGAUGUGGGAAGGCCCAGACAGCCAGGAUGUUGGCUUAGAAGCAGCCAUCAUUUAAAGAAAGCGUAAUAGCUCACUGGUCGAGUCGGCCUGCGCGGAAGAUGUAACGGGGCUAAACCAUGCACCGAAGCUGCGGCAGCGACGCUUAUGCGU